CAUCUUUAAUUUCUUGAUCUUUAUGCCAAAUUUUUUGAUAAAAUUCCUUGUUCUUUUAAUGUUUAAUUUUUUUUUUCUUCAUGGUUAUGACUUGGUAUUUAUAUUAUAUAGAAUUCAGAUACUAUGUUAGAAGACAAAUUAAAUUUACUCCUUAGACCAUGAAGAAUUUGGGCACUAAUUAAUUAACCAUCCUCAUAAAAAACAAAGAUAUUAUUUGGCAUGCAGACACAAGUUCGAUGACAAGUGGGUUCCGGAGAUUAAUAUGCAUGACUGACCUGAAAUGGAGCUUUUUCACCGAUUUGAA
RNAcentral lists this unclassified non-coding RNA (304 nucleotides) under Hevea brasiliensis (rubber tree). Lineage: Eukaryota; Viridiplantae; Streptophyta; Magnoliopsida; Malpighiales; Euphorbiaceae. The record is from RNAcentral.